Molecule: non-coding RNA, 66 nt
Organism: Pseudomonas alkylphenolica
Lineage: Bacteria; Pseudomonadati; Pseudomonadota; Gammaproteobacteria; Pseudomonadales; Pseudomonadaceae
Source: Rfam
GACUUUGCGACUCCAGCCCGAGCGCUAAGCAAACGGCUGAUGGCUGGUGGCUCUUGCCACCGGCCU